RNAcentral lists this ribosomal RNA (432 nucleotides) under Leptospira borgpetersenii serovar Hardjo-bovis. RNAcentral's name for it is "partial 23S ribosomal RNA". It matches the Rfam family "Bacterial large subunit ribosomal RNA", at positions 611 to 1061 of the family's 2925-position model. Lineage: Bacteria; Pseudomonadati; Spirochaetota; Leptospiria; Leptospirales; Leptospiraceae. The record is from RNAcentral.
UAGAAUGAGCCUGCGACUUAUAGUAUGUAGCAAGAUUAAGAGGUAAUAGCCUUGUAGUCAUAGUGAAAGCGAGCCUUAAGAGGGCGAUUUAGUUGCAUGCUAUACGACCCGAAGCCAAGUGAUCUACCUAUGAGCAGUGCGAAACUCGAGUAACAUCGAGAGGAGGUGCGAACCAGUGGCCGUGAAAAGGCUUUGGAUGACUUGUGGGUAGGAGUGAAAGGCUAAUCAAACUUGGAGAUAGCUGGUUCUCGCCGAAAUGUCUUUAGGGGCAGCGUUAUGUGUUUACUUGCGGGGGUAGAGCACUAAAUGGACUAGGGCUCCUAACCGAGUACCAAACCCCUGGGGUCUUUCCGUCUUGCCGCGGGUAGGAGGAAUUUUCACCUCCACUACAAUUUCACUGAAUCUCUCUUUGAGACAGCUCCCAUCUCGUUA